UGUUGGACUUGGAAUUGAUUUAGGAGAAAAUAUAUAGAUUCUACACUGUCACUUUCUGAAAAUUACCAGUUUUAGCUUUAGGAGCUGUGGUUCAUUUGUAUCGCCGUUGUUUGAAUACGGUGGAUAUCCAGAAUAGUGUAGAAUGAAUUUAAGCUCGUGUUGGGAUGCCGAGUUUAUUUUACAGUAGUGUAUAGAUUGUUUUGGACUGUUGGGUGCAGUCACGACUAGCGGUGGACCCAGAUUGCUGUUUUUGCAUCCGAUUGUGCCAAGAGCACGUGAGUUU
This 283-nucleotide long non-coding RNA is filed under the name Ananas comosus (pineapple). Its description in RNAcentral is "long non-coding RNA (ACOM_LNC010445)". The record is from RNAcentral. Lineage: Eukaryota; Viridiplantae; Streptophyta; Magnoliopsida; Poales; Bromeliaceae.